RNAcentral lists this ribosomal RNA (339 nucleotides) under Spinomantis sp. 2 MV-2009. RNAcentral's name for it is "partial 16S ribosomal RNA". It matches the Rfam family "Bacterial large subunit ribosomal RNA", at positions 2010 to 2516 of the family's 2925-position model. The record is from RNAcentral. Lineage: Eukaryota; Metazoa; Chordata; Amphibia; Anura; Mantellidae.
GUCUCACUGUCUCCUCUCUCUAAUCAAUGAAACUGAUCUCUCCGUGAAGAAGCGGAGAUUUAACUAUAAGACGAGAAGACCCCAUGGAGCUUUAAACCUGACUACACCCCUAUCUAUUAUACCCUUAAAUCAACAGGGCCUUUGUCUGUCGGUUUUAGGUUGGGGUGACCGCGGAGCAUAAAUUAACCUCCAAGAUGAACUGGACUAACCCAUUAUCUAAGAUUUACACCUCAAAGAAUCAGCACACUGACAUAAAAUGAUCCGACAUUCGAUCAACGAACCAAGUUACCCUGGGGAUAACAGCGCAAUCUACUUCAAGAGCCCCUAUCGACAAGCAGG